This 909-nucleotide ribosomal RNA is filed under the name Ophiocordyceps longissima. RNAcentral describes it as "LSU rRNA". It matches the Rfam family "Eukaryotic large subunit ribosomal RNA", at positions 40 to 962 of the family's 3401-position model. Lineage: Eukaryota; Fungi; Ascomycota; Sordariomycetes; Hypocreales; Ophiocordycipitaceae. The record is from RNAcentral.
AUAUCAAUAAGCGGAGGAAAAGAAACCAACAGGGAUUGCCCUAGUAACGGCGAGUGAAGCGGCAGCAGCUCAAAUUUGAAAUCUGGCUCCCCCCCGCGGGGUGCCCGAGUUGUAAUUUGCAGAGGAUGCCUCUGGCGCGGCGCCUUCCGAGUUCCCUGGAACGGGACGCCAUAGAGGGUGAGAGCCCCGUAUGGUCGGCAGCCAAGCCUCUGUGAGGCUCCUUCGACGAGUCGAGUAGUUUGGGAAUGCUGCUCAAAAUGGGAGGUAUAUGUCUUCUAAAGCUAAAUACCGGCCAGAGACCGAUAGCGCACAAGUAGAGUGAUCGAAAGAUGAAAAGCACUUUGAAAAGAGGGUUAAACAGUACGUGAAAUUGUUGAAAGGGAAGCGCUCGCGACCAGACUCGGGCCCGGCGGAUCAUCCGGCGUUCUUCGCCGGUGCACUCCGCCGGCGCCCGGGCCAGCAUCGGCUCGGCCGCGGGGGAUAAAGGCGGCGGGAACGUGGCCCCUCCGGGGGUGUUAUAGCCCGCCGCGCAAUGCCCCGCGCCGGGCCGAGGACCGCGCCCCAGGGCAAGGAUGCUGGCGUAAUGGUCGCUAGCGACCCGUCUUGAAACACGGACCAAGGAGUCGUCUUCGUAUGCGAGUGUUCGGGUGUCAAACCCCUACGCGCAAUGAAAGUGAACGCGGGUGAGAGCCCUCGCGGGCGCAUCACCGACCGAUCCUGAUGUUCUCGGAUGGAUUUGAGUAAGAGCAUACGGGGCCGGACCCGAAAGAAGGUGAACUAUGCCUGUGUAGGGUGAAGCCAGAGGAAACUCUGGUGGAGGCUCGCAGCGGUUCUGACGUGCAAAUCGAUCGUCAAACAUGGGCAUGGGGGCGAAAGACUAAUCGAACCUUCUAGUAGCUGGUUCCCGCC